UGGGGAAUAUUGCACAAUGGGCGCAAGCCUGAUGCAGCGACGCCGCGUGCGGGAUGGAGGCCUUCGGGUUGUAAACCGCUUUUGUUUGGGAGCAAGCCCUUCGGGGUGAGUGUACCUUUCGAAUAAGCACCGGCUAACUACGUGCCAGCAGCCGCGGUAAUACGUAGGGUGCGAGCGUUAUCCGGAUUUAUUGGGCGUAAAGGGCUCGUAGGCGGUUCGUCGCGUCCGGUGUGAAAGUCCAUCGCCUAACGGUGGAUCUGCGCCGGGUACGGGCGGGCUGGAGUGCGGUAGGGGAGACUGGAAUUCCCGGUGUAACGGUGGAAUGUGUAGAUAUCGGGAAGAACACCAAUGGCGAAGGCAGGUCUCUGGGCCGUUACUGACGCUGAGGAGCGAAAGCGUGGGGAGCGAACAGG
RNAcentral lists this ribosomal RNA (413 nucleotides) under uncultured bacterium. RNAcentral describes it as "bacterial SSU rRNA". It matches the Rfam family "Bacterial small subunit ribosomal RNA", at positions 355 to 776 of the family's 1533-position model. The record is from RNAcentral.